RNAcentral lists this transfer RNA (66 nucleotides) under Anadara antiquata. Its description in RNAcentral is "tRNA-Ser". Lineage: Eukaryota; Metazoa; Mollusca; Bivalvia; Arcoida; Arcidae. The record is from RNAcentral.
AGGAAGGCUGAAUAAGCGCGGUUGGGCUUCUAACUCGACUGGGGGUGAGGAAUACAUCCAUUCCUU